RNAcentral lists this ribosomal RNA (492 nucleotides) under uncultured bacterium. RNAcentral describes it as "partial 16S ribosomal RNA". It matches the Rfam family "Bacterial small subunit ribosomal RNA", at positions 29 to 507 of the family's 1533-position model. The record is from RNAcentral.
AGUGAACGCUGGCGGUAUGCCUAACACAUGCAAGUCGAACGGCAGCACAGUAAGAGCUUGCUCUUACGGGUGGCGAGUGGCGGACGGGUGAGGAAUACAUCGGAAUCUACUUUUUCGUGGGGGAUAACGUAGGGAAACUUACGCUAAUACCGCAUACGACCUACGGGUGAAAGCAGGGGAUCUUCGGACCUUGCGCGAUUGAAUGAGCCGAUUUCGGAUUAGCUAGUUGGCGGGGUAAGGGCCCACCAAGGCGACGAUCCGUAGCUGGUCUGAGAGGAUGAUCAGCCACACUGGAACUGAGACACGGUCCAGACUCCUACGGGGGGCAGCAGUGGGGAAUAUUGGACAAUGGGCGAAAGCCUGAUCCAGCCAUACCGCGUGGGUGAAGAAGGCCUUCGGGUUGUAAAGCCCUUUUGUUGGGAAAGAAAAGCAGCAGGUUAAUACCCCGCUGUUCUGACGGUACCCAAAGAAUAAGCACCGGCUAACUUCGUG